Long non-coding RNA from Microcebus murinus (gray mouse lemur), 580 nucleotides. RefSeq lists it as uncharacterized. Lineage: Eukaryota; Metazoa; Chordata; Mammalia; Primates; Cheirogaleidae. The record is from RefSeq and is a predicted model, not a curated record.
UACAACAACUAUGACCGGGCUAUCAUCAAUACCGUACCUUAUGAUGUUGUCCAUCAUUGGUAUAUAGCACAUCGGACUCUAACAAUAGAGUUGAGGAGACCUGAGAAUGAGUUUUGACUCAAACUAAGGCCUGGCAAGGUCCUAUUCAUAGACAACUGGCGUGCCCUACACGGAAGGGAAUGCUUCAUUGGCUACCACCAACUCUGUGGCUGCUAUUUAACAAGAGAUGAUGUAUUAAACACUGCUCGUCUCUUGGGGCUUCAGGCUUAAAAUUGACAGCAUCAGGAUUAUGAAUAUACCUGGUACCCUUGCCACAGGAAUUUCGUAUCAGUAGAAUAAUAUUGUGUCAAAACCUACUUCAGAUUGUCUCCUUACUCCAUCCCACAAAACAGAAGCUGUCCCUUUCUUUAGUAGGGGAAGCUUGUUAAAGAGUAGGGCUCUGAGUUAUCUGAUGUCAGGCCAUCUAAGUGUGGUAUCUGUCUUCCCCAAGUUAUAACAUGGGCCCAACAUGUUUUUUAAAGCUUUUGAUAUAAUUUUGGUCAAUCUACUUUAGAAUAAUAAUCUCCAUAUAAAUAGGAAA